AUUGAACGCUGGCGGCGUGCUUAACACAUGCAAGUCGAGCGGUAACAGGUGUAGCAAUACAUGCUGACGAGCGGCGAACGGGUGAGUAAUGCAUCGGAACGUGCCCUGAAGUGGGGGAUAACGUAGCGAAAGUUACGCUAAUACCGCAUAUUCUGUGAGCAGGAAAGCAGGGGAUCGCAAGACCUUGCGCUUUAGGAGCGGCCGAUGUCGGAUUAGCUAGUUGGUGGGGUAAAAGCUCACCAAGGCGACGAUCCGUAGCGGGUCUGAGAGGAUGAUCCGCCACACUGGGACUGAGACACGGCCCAGACUCCUACGGGAGGCAGCAGUGGGGAAUUUUGGACAAUGGGCGCAAGCCUGAUCCAGCCAUGCCGCGUGAGUGAAGAAGGCCUGGUUGUAAAGCUCUUUCGGUCGGGGGAAGGAAAGUUAGCACUCGUUAAUACC
RNAcentral lists this ribosomal RNA (441 nucleotides) under uncultured bacterium. Its description in RNAcentral is "bacterial SSU rRNA". It matches the Rfam family "Bacterial small subunit ribosomal RNA", at positions 30 to 479 of the family's 1533-position model. The record is from RNAcentral.